UUUUGCAAUUUUGCAUUUUGCACAGAGUUGCGCAGGUUUUCUACGAUAUACAAAAGCUGCGCAAUACAGUUAACGACAUCGAUAGUUGUCGGUAAGCGUGUACAGAAUUGAGGCCCUGUACUCCAUCGUCUUCUUCUGCGCAGAAGUAUAGUGGAAGAAUGCGCGUUUCCGGUAGUGUCAAGCGCGGAAGAUACGCGGCGCUGCCGGAUAAGAUGUUGCGGAGACGCGGUGUCGCAUUGUCGCGACAGAUAGUUUUUUGUUUAACCGUCCACAUUACGCAUUGUGUUAUUUCGAGCCCAGCUGUGAGUACUGUCGGAGAGAGAAAUACUUUUCACUAAGGAUUUUCAGGAAAGUUUGGCUAUCAUCAGCAACGGAAAGUUCUAAAGGAUAACUUACAAAAAGAUACAAGAACGCUUUUGAGUACUCCAUGAAAUAAAAUUAUAUAAAGUAGAACCAGAUGUUAAGAGAAUAUUUGCCAACGGAGGUAUAAGUCAUGAUGAUAGUAAGAUACCAUUACAGUUAAGAUGUUUUACAGCUGAUGCGCCAGCUCGUGCUUUUUGAAUCAUCGAGGCCAUACAUCCAAACAGCCAUGCUCCAAAUAUAAAGUUAAUGGCCAACGAUGUGAGAUGAAGGUCAUCAUAAAGAAGGAAAAAGUCUGUUGUCAAUGUUACCGAUAAGAUUGGUUACACAGGUUCCAUUUGAAUAUAUGCACCUGGUGUGCCUUGGAGUAAUGAAGAAAUUGUUGCAUGGGUCCUAUUGUUACAUACGGUAUUCUUAAUCAGCAAGUGUACACACACUUUUUAUUGCUCCAUGCAGCAAUAAGGAUUUUAGUUUCAACGUCAUCGUCAAAAAUAUACCUGAAUUUCGCAGAAGUAGCGUUGCAAAAGUUUGUUGAGAGAUGUGAAAAUAUGUACGGUUCAACAUUCAAUUCCUACAAUAUUCACGGUCUCCUUCAUAUUGCAAAUGAUGUGCGGCAACUAGGUCCUCUUGAUUCAUUUUUUGCCUUCCCAUAUGAAAAUAAUAUGACAAUUUUCCGAAAGUGUUGUAGAAAACCUGAUCUUCCUCUGCAGCAAAUUUCAAAUAGAAUGGCAGAGAUAGAAGCAAAUACAGCAACUGAUUAUUUGAGCACGGAUUCAACAAUCCGCGUGUUCAGGGAGCAUAACGUAAAUGGACCGUCUAAAACGACCCAUAAUAAAACCAUCGACAUAUCAGACUACUUCUUCUGACGAGUCACCCCGGAAGAGGUCAAUGGAUACUGCAGGGAAACAAAAGGACAUUGGCAAAACCUUGGAAGAGGAUAUAAGGGAGUUGAGAGGAAUUCUUCAGGAGAAUUCCUCAUAUAAUAUUCAUAAUACUAAUAAUGAUAGUAAUAAUCAGACGUACACUCCUCAUGUAUGCGGAAUACAAACACACAUACCCAUUCAAACGCAAUAUCUACCCCAACAAAACUCUACACAAUAUGUAACAUUGCAAACAUCUACACAUAUAGAAUCACAAUAUACACCCAUUCACACAGAACAUGCAUCUACAACGUACCGAUAUGACAUGUCUGAAAACAGCAGUAAUACAGGGUGAAGAAAAAACCACGGGACCCCUGAAAAUUUCGA
RNAcentral lists this unclassified non-coding RNA (1607 nucleotides) under Harpegnathos saltator (Jerdon's jumping ant). Its description in RNAcentral is "uncharacterized LOC109504667, transcript variant X6". Lineage: Eukaryota; Metazoa; Arthropoda; Insecta; Hymenoptera; Formicidae. The record is from RNAcentral.